This 580-nucleotide ribosomal RNA is filed under the name Nostoc sp. HG1. Its description in RNAcentral is "partial 23S ribosomal RNA". It matches the Rfam family "Bacterial large subunit ribosomal RNA", at positions 1887 to 2469 of the family's 2925-position model. Lineage: Bacteria; Bacillati; Cyanobacteriota; Cyanophyceae; Nostocales; Nostocaceae. The record is from RNAcentral.
UGGUCAGGGGGCAACCUUGAAGCUAGGCGACCGAAGCCCCGGUGAACGGCGGCCGUAACUAUAACGGUCCUAAGGUAGCGAAAUUCCUUGUUCGGGUAAGUUCCGACCCGCACGAAAGGCAUCACGAUCUGGGCAGUGUCUCGACCAGGGGCUCGGUGAAAUUGCGAUAACGGUUAGGACGCCGUUAACUUGUAGCAGGACAAAAAGACCCCGUGGAGCUUUACUCCAGCUUGUCAUUGUGAUUUAUCCCAGUCUGCGUAGGAUAGGUGGGAGCCGAUGAAGUUGCCCUUGCGGGGGUGAUGGAGGCAACGGUGAAAUACCACUCUGACUGUGAUGACUCACUCACCCCUGAUGAAGGGGAACCGUGACUGGUGGGGAGUUUGACUGGGGCGGUCGCCUCCCAAAAGGUAACGGAGGCGCGCAAUGGUUCCCUCAGCCGGGAUGGUAACCCGGCGAUGAGUGCAAAGGCAUAAGGGAGCUUGACUGCAAGGGGGACACCCCGCGCAGGGAGGAAACUCGGCCUUAGUGAUCCUACAGCGCCGUGUGGAAGGGCUGUAGCUUAACGGAUAAAAGCUACCCC